This 205-nucleotide long non-coding RNA is filed under the name Trifolium pratense (red clover). Its description in RNAcentral is "long non-coding RNA (TPRA_LNC001685)". Lineage: Eukaryota; Viridiplantae; Streptophyta; Magnoliopsida; Fabales; Fabaceae. The record is from RNAcentral.
GUUAAAACUACCCUGCAUGCUCCGUCAACAUCCAGCAAUCGGAAGAAAUUCUACCAAAGUCAGUACUAUUAUAUGCUCUAGAUCUCUCUCUAGCUAUCCUUCAACUCUAACUCCUCUAACUGUUUUGUAACUUAUGCUAUAAUGUACCAAACAAUAUUUAAUUUCCCUCCUUUUUGCCAUUAGUGGAUCUCUAUAUCAAGGUCAU